GACAGGCUGUACCUAGAAACUGGUGCUCUC
This 30-nucleotide non-coding RNA is filed under the name Cricetulus griseus (Chinese hamster). The record is from RNAcentral. Lineage: Eukaryota; Metazoa; Chordata; Mammalia; Rodentia; Cricetidae.